GUUAGAGGCUGAUCAGAGCUCGGGAGUCCCUUCAAGCGAGGUUGGAAGCUAGAAUAUCUUGUAAUUUUAUUUUUUACUAUUAUGUAAAGAUGACUUUUCAUCAGUGAAAUAAAUUUUCUACUUUUUUAAAAUCAUACCAUUUUGUGUGUAUUCAUCUAGUCUCUCGACAAGCCAUCAACAGGGGCAGUCUCCCUAUCCUUCAAGUCGAGCUCUUGUCGGCCCCUUUUGUUGUGC
This 234-nucleotide long non-coding RNA is filed under the name Elaeis guineensis (African oil palm). Its description in RNAcentral is "long non-coding RNA (EGUI_LNC005637)". The record is from RNAcentral. Lineage: Eukaryota; Viridiplantae; Streptophyta; Magnoliopsida; Arecales; Arecaceae.